UGAGUCAUGCUUUUCUUCGUUGGUAGUCGGGUAUAAAUAGGGGUCGCGCACCUCUCCCGCUCUCUUUCCCGCACGGAGUCAAGUAUAAAGAGGAGCGAGCUAAGCACUCACUGGAGGCUAACUGCUAUAUGCAUUGUUCUUCUGUGACCAGUGACCAGCAAUAAAGGGCCCGUGAACAGCAAGUGUGUCGGUCCAUGUGUCCCAUAACAAAACACAACGCAGCACGGCCAGUCACCAGAGGGACAGGCGAGGAUUAAGAGGACAGAUUAGAGACCCAAAGGCGACCGG
Monopterus albus (swamp eel) is the source of this 288-nucleotide long non-coding RNA. RefSeq lists it as uncharacterized. The transcript is spliced from 3 exons. Lineage: Eukaryota; Metazoa; Chordata; Actinopteri; Synbranchiformes; Synbranchidae. The record is from RefSeq and is a predicted model, not a curated record.